Molecule: long non-coding RNA, 2322 nt
Organism: Gallus gallus (chicken)
Lineage: Eukaryota; Metazoa; Chordata; Aves; Galliformes; Phasianidae
Exons: 2
Source: RefSeq, a predicted model, not a curated record
GUUCCGCUUCCGGUGCGGCCCCCGCGGGGGGAGGGGAGCGGGGAGCGGUCGUGCCGCGCUCGGGGUGUCCUCGGGGGGCGAGAAGUGGAAUUUGGGGGUGAAAAAGGGCCACAAGGGCCGCUUCGCUCCGCUGCCGGACGCGGGGCCGACCCCCAUCCGCCGGCUGAGGGCCGGGAGCUGCGGCGGAGUCCUAUGGAAGAGGCGGCCGAGGGGAGAACUCAGCGCUCCCUGCGGCUCCGUGGGGGGAGCUGCUGUGCGUUCACCUCAUCGCCAGCCAAGUCCUCGCCUCCACCUGCUGCAGUCACAGCCCCACCUGCAGCUGCCACCCGAGGCAAUGGUGCCAGCCCACAGCACGGGUUGGGGCUGUAAGGUUCCUUCCAAGCCAAGCUGUUCUGGGAGCCAAGGUUCUUUACCCCCAGACCUCCCUCCCCACCGCUGUGAAAGGGCCAGGAGGAACGGCGAGGUGCUGCUGUGAAGCGAAGCUCCUGGUGCAGCUCAACCAGCUCCACACUCAGUGGAUUUCUGUGCCCAAAGACGGGCAGGAUGCGGGGAAUUGGACCCCUGAAGAAUCACCCACUCUGGUUGCCCCCUCGGGAGGAGGUGUUUCCCUGCAGGAAGGGCUGUGGUGCUGCUCAGUCCAAAGGUCACUGAAUGCCCAGUGUGGGUGCAGCUAUGGGGGCUGGACUCUGGUUUAACUUUGGAACGUGGGCUCACCCCGAAAACCUUGAGAAAAGGAAAGUGGAAAGCAAACGGCCCCAUGGAAAGGACAAGGGAAACCCCUGAAACCCCUGCCCGACCCAUUGGGAUGGUGGUGUGUGGGAUGGAGGGGAACUCCAGCUGUGGAGAUAAAAUACCAGAGGUGGCUGGGAAACCCCACAGAACCCCUCAAACAGAUCUUCCUCCUCCAGAGGGACAGCAAGGCCCUGGGGAAUUGCCAAUGUGAAGAACUCAACGUGAAGGUGAUUUGGGGGGGCCUGAAAGCACUGCAAACUCACAUCUCUGUCACCAUCUGAAGCGUCACCACCCACUGGCAGAGGAGGAUGCUGUGGUGAGCUCAGGGUGCAGCCCCAUCCCGAGUGUCCCCAACACCCUUUUGCCCCAGACUGUAUAAACAACAGGGUCAGGCGUGAACCCCACACGCCCUUUGCCCUGCUGUGUAGUCCUUCAUGCAGGACCAGGCAACACCAGGGUCUGGAAGGAGAAAUCCCACUCCAGAGCCCUCCCUGUGGCCCCAAGGAAUGCGUCCUUGUUGGGAAACGGAUUCUUGGCACUGGGAGGAAUAACAGAAGCAAGCUAAGCUCGCUCCAGCAGCUCAGGGCAGCGCCCAGCACAUAUUUCCCCAGCAGUGCCAAGCUGUAAAGCACAAACAAACACGGGCACAUACUUGGCACCCAGCUGGAACAGCGUGUCCCUGUGCAAACACCCGGCUCCUGCUUUGAAGUGGGCCAGAGGGGAUGACGAAUGGCUGAUUUGGGGUGGGGGAAAUGGGAACAGGAUGUCUGAUGACGGGAUGACGGGGCUGUGGGGAGGGUCGGCGCAAUGCUUUGAACCCCAGUGACGCCAGCAGCUGGAGGAAGCAAAGUAUGACAUCAGGGUUGAUAACGCGGGCAAGGCUGCAAGCUCACAGCCAGCAGCACAGCCCUGGUGAGGGGAGAUGUCACCACGGGGCAGCUCUGUCCUCUGGGUGACACCAGGAGUCCCUGGUGCAUGGCAUGGAAAGGAAUUGAGAUUUCUUUUGAAAGAGGGGAAAACCCCUCCCCCCCCCCCCCCCCCCCGUGACUCCCACGAGGUCAGCUGAGACACAACGUGGUGCUGAGGCAGGACAGGAUGCAGCACAGAUACUUCUGCUCUCCACACCUCAAAGAAACCCCUUUAAGCUCAUGGAGCACCAAAAACACCCUUGGAAAGCUGGUGCUGAACACAGGACUUUCCUUCUGCUGGCUCACCCCGCUCUGUCAGCCUAAUCCUUGCAAUACUCAUACUCAGGAGCAGAGGACAAAGGCGCAAACACCCCUAAAACCAAAGGCAGAUUCCAUCGUGCCCUGUCCAGCAAGCAAUGGACGUGGGGACACUGCCCUGCUGCUCCAGGGACAGAACAGACGUCACCCACAGCACGUUAUGGUCGUUGUAAGGAACUUCUGUUGCUGAUUCUCAUCCUGUGUUGUCACAAUCGCUUCCUCCUGCUGCACAAACAUGCUUGGCAUUUCCAGCAAAGGAGGGAAGACGUGCUCAGAGUCAGUCGUUCCCUCCCAGCCCCCCGUGGGUGCAGGUAGCAGCACAGGGGCAGCCCAAAGCUGCAAUACAGCUUUGCAUUUUUCACUA